GGUGAACGCUGGCGGUAGGCCUAACACAUGCAAGUCGAACGGCAGCACAGUAAGAGCUUGCUCUUACGGGUGGCGAGUGGCGGACGGGUGAGGAAUACAUCGGAAUCUACUUUUUCGUGGGGGAUAACGUAGGGAAACUUACGCUAAUACCGCAUACGACCUACGGGUGAAAGCAGGGGAUCUUCGGACCUUGCGCGAUUGAAUGAGCCGAUGUCGGAUUAGCUAGUUGGCGGGGUAAAGGCCCACCAAGGCGACGAUCCGUAGCUGGUCUGAGAGGAUGAUCAGCCACACUGGAACUGAGACACGGUCCAGACUCCUACGGGAGGCAGCAGUGGGGAAUAUUGGACAAUGGGCGCAAGCCUGAUCCAGCCAUACCGCGUGGGUGAAGAAGGCCUUCGGGUUGUAAAGCCCUUUUGUUGGGAAAGAAAAGCAGCAGGUUAAGACCCCGCUGUUCUGACGGUACCCAAAGAAUAAGCACCGGCGAACUUCGU
RNAcentral lists this ribosomal RNA (491 nucleotides) under uncultured bacterium. Its description in RNAcentral is "partial 16S ribosomal RNA". It matches the Rfam family "Bacterial small subunit ribosomal RNA", at positions 28 to 506 of the family's 1533-position model. The record is from RNAcentral.